GCGUGGAGUAUGUGGUUUAAUUCGAUGCAACGCGAAGAACCUUACCUGGUCUUGACAUCCCGGAAGACCCUUAGGAAACUAGGGGGUGCUUCCAUCUGGAAGAAUCUGGAGACAGGUGCUGCAUGGCUGUCGUCAGCUCGUGUCGUGAGAUGUUGGGUUAAGUCCCGCAACGAGCGCAACCCUUGCCUUUAGUUGCCAGCAGUUCGGCUGGGCACUCUAAAGGGACUGCCGGUGUUAAACCGGAGGAAGGUGGGGAUGACGUCAAGUCCUCAUGGCCUUUAUGACCAGGGCUACACACGUACUACAAUGGCCGAUACAAAGGGCAGCGACACUGCGAGGUGAAGCCAAUCCCGUAAAAUCGGUCUCAGUCCGGAUUGGAGUCUGCAACUCGACUCCAUGAAGUUGGAAUCGCUAGUAAUCGUGGAUCAGCAUGCCACGGUGAAUACGUUCCCGGGCCUU
RNAcentral lists this ribosomal RNA (459 nucleotides) under uncultured Desulfobulbus sp. RNAcentral's name for it is "bacterial SSU rRNA". It matches the Rfam family "Bacterial small subunit ribosomal RNA", at positions 929 to 1382 of the family's 1533-position model. The record is from RNAcentral. Lineage: Bacteria; Pseudomonadati; Thermodesulfobacteriota; Desulfobulbia; Desulfobulbales; Desulfobulbaceae.